UAGCCAGGUGGGGGUCAGGCUCGGCAACAAGUGACAGGCCAAGAGAAAAGGGCCUCAAGUUGUGCCAGAGGACGUUUAGAGUGGAUAUUAUGAAAAAUUUCUUCUCUGUAAGGGCUGUCAAGCUCUGGAACAGGCUGC
This is a long non-coding RNA of Empidonax traillii (willow flycatcher), 138 nucleotides long. RefSeq lists it as uncharacterized. The transcript has 3 exons. The record is from RefSeq and is a predicted model, not a curated record. NCBI's taxonomy places the organism in Eukaryota, Metazoa, Chordata, Aves, Passeriformes, Tyrannidae.